Molecule: long non-coding RNA, 563 nt
Organism: Megalopta genalis
Lineage: Eukaryota; Metazoa; Arthropoda; Insecta; Hymenoptera; Halictidae
Source: RefSeq, a predicted model, not a curated record
GAAUCCAAGGACAAGUCGUGGAAGCGCAAAACGGCGAGUAUUCGCCAUAAACGCGACGAAUCCCGUCGAACUAACGCGAAGUUGCAAAGCUCGUGAACAAAAGAAGAGAGAGGAGCGUACAGGCGAAUGGAAAUGGCGAAUCCGUACGCAAAAGGAUCCUACAGAAGUUAUGAUGGAUACGCGUCUAUAUCAAACUAUCAGCGGCGUCUUAGCGGAGGGUGCUGGCAUCGUUAUGGGCACGACGUUGACGGACGGCUCUCUUACGCUCGGUUGACGGGAAACACAAAUUGUGGGCGCAGCUGCGCCGAUAGUAAUCAAGAAACACGCUAUUCGGGUUAUCUUCGCGUAGACGCGAGUGGAAUGAUCGAAGAGGAAGCGAUAAACAUCGACAAAGUUCAACUUGGAUGGAUUAAAUUUAAAAGUUCAAUCACUUUUUUCCGUUAGUUGAUCCACGCAAUUGUCGGCUAACGCGCGUUUGUUUGUUUGAGCAUUCUUUCGGGCGAAUGAAUUAACGAUUGUAAGCGACGCUUUAAAUGUUCUUAAUAAAAAAGAUAUACACACCA